AUACGGAGGGUGCAAGCGUUGUUCGGAUUUAUUGGGCGUAAAGCGGGUGUAGGCGGCUUGGCAAGUCGGGUGUGAAAUCCCUGGGCUCAACCCAGGAACUGCACUCGAAACUGCCUCGCUAGAGUCUCGGAGAGGGUGGCGGAAUUCCCGGUGUAGAGGUGAAAUUCGUAGAUAUCGGGAGGAACACCAGUGGCGAAGGCGGCCACCUGGACGAUGACUGACGCUCAGACCCGAAAGCGUGGGGAGCAAACAGGAUUAGAUACCCCGGUAGUCC
This 274-nucleotide ribosomal RNA is filed under the name uncultured bacterium. Its description in RNAcentral is "partial 16S ribosomal RNA". It matches the Rfam family "Bacterial small subunit ribosomal RNA", at positions 523 to 796 of the family's 1533-position model. The record is from RNAcentral.